This 246-nucleotide ribosomal RNA is filed under the name uncultured bacterium. RNAcentral's name for it is "partial 16S ribosomal RNA". It matches the Rfam family "Bacterial small subunit ribosomal RNA", at positions 57 to 305 of the family's 1533-position model. The record is from RNAcentral.
GCAAGUCGAACGGCAGCACGGGGGCAACCCUGGUGGCGAGUGGCGAACGGGUGAGGAAUACAUCGGAACGUGUCUUUAAGUGGGGGAUAACGCAUCGAAAGGUGUGCUAAUACCGCAUAAUCUCUGAGGAGAAAAGCAGGGGAUCGCAAGACCUUGCGCUUUUGGAGCGGCCGAUGCCUGAUUAGCUUGUUGGUAAGGUAAAAGCUUACCAAGGCGACGAUCCAUAGCUGGUCUGAGAGGAUGAUC